This 1191-nucleotide ribosomal RNA is filed under the name Triticum aestivum (bread wheat). RNAcentral's name for it is "partial small subunit ribosomal RNA". Lineage: Eukaryota; Viridiplantae; Streptophyta; Magnoliopsida; Poales; Poaceae. The record is from RNAcentral.
AUGGUAUCAGACCAUGCUAGGCUUAGAUUGUUUUCGGUACAAAGGAAAAACAGAGAAAGAAAGUUCCCCUCCCCCCAAAAGAACCCUAGAAGGGCAAAGAGAACAUGCGCCGCCGCAAGGCCGCGCCGUUCCUCUCGAUCCGGACGCGCAUCGGCAAGCCGAGGCGUCGGACGAAGAACUACCGGAGACAACUCAACGGUAUGCUGGCAAAGAAAAGAAAAAAAAAAGACAAAAAAAAGAGAGAGAAGGGGGGAGCACCGCGGCCCAACCGCUCGACGGCGGCGCACUCACCCCAAGGGGAACGCCCCACCGGCGAAGGGAUCGGCAACGGUGCCGCCACUCCACGCCGUCGGGCGCUGCAAGGGAGCAGAGGGGGCCUUGGCCUCGCAUCUUUCUCUCUGUCUAAGGAAGAAAAGGGGAAGGGAAAAGUGGAGAAUGGGUGCUCGCGCGCCGCCGUGGAGACGCCGUCGCUGGCGGCCGACGGGGCCCUCGGCGUCUCUCUCUUUUUCUCUGUCGCAGGAGACGGAGGAAGAAAGAGAUGGAAAAAGAAAAGGAAGGAAGGGAGCUCGAGCGGCGCAGCACGGCGCGGUGGUGCGUCGCCGUCGCCGGCGACCGGGCGCGGCGCGGUGGCCUGACGCGGUAGCGACAGGAGCGAGAGGAGGGAGCGGCGCACGGGGGGAGAAACGGACUAGGUUAGCCCCGAGCGGCGCGGGGGGAUGGCUUCUUGAUCCAGCGAACGGUGCGCUGGACCGUCGGAUCGGAUCCGACGGCCACGACGCCAACCCUAGCCGGCUGCGGGCCUCUCGGCCGAAAGAAGAAAGAGGCCGGCUCACGCGCGCGCUGGGCUGCUGCCACUGGCAGGCCGCUGGGCCGAAAGGGAGGCCGCAGCCGCGGGCUGGGCCGAAAUGCAACGCGGCUGAGCUGCCCGUUUUUCCGUGUUUUAAUAGUUUUUGUCCAGUUUUGGACAAAUUUCAUACAGUUUGGCUAUACAAAAUUAUUCAAAGAAAAAUUUUGUUUAGAGUACAGAAAAGUAAAAUAAAAAGUUCUGAAAAGGAAAAUAUAAAUGUUUCUGAAAAUGAAAAUAAAAAAUUUCAGAAAAGAAAUGUUCAUGAAUUUUACAAAGAAAAUAAUAAAGUUCAUGAAUUUUUAUUUGGUCAAAGAAAAGUUUCUGUAAAGAAUAAAAAGUCAUGA